AUGGGGAAUAUUGGACAAUGGGGGGAACCCUGAUCCAGCCAUGUCGCGUGUGUGAAGAAGGCCUUUUGGUUGUAAAGCACUUUAAGCGAGGAGGAGGCUACCGAGAUUAAUACUCUUGGAUAGUGGACGUUACUCGCAGAAUAAGCACCGGCUAACUCUGUGCCAGCAGCCGCGGUAAUACAGAGGGUGCAAGCGUUAAUCGGAUUUACUGGGCGUAAAGCGCGCGUAGGUGGUCAAUUAAGUCAAAUGUGAAAUCCCCGAGCUUAACUUGGGAAUUGCAUUCGAUACUGGUUGGGUAGAGUAUGGGAGAGGAUGGUAGAAUUCCAGGUGUAGCGGUGAAAUGCGUAGAGAUCUGGAGGAAUACCGAUGGCGAAGGCAGCCAUCUGGCCUAAUACUGACACUGAGGUGCGAAAGCAUGGGGAGCAAACAGGAUUAGAUACCCCAGUAGUCC
This 451-nucleotide ribosomal RNA is filed under the name uncultured bacterium. Its description in RNAcentral is "partial 16S ribosomal RNA". It matches the Rfam family "Bacterial small subunit ribosomal RNA", at positions 354 to 796 of the family's 1533-position model. The record is from RNAcentral.